UGGCGACCGGCGCACGGGUGAGUAACACGUAUCCAACCUGCCGAUGACUCGGGGAUAGCCUUUCGAAAGAAAGAUUAAUACCCGAUGGCAUAGUUCUUCCGCAUGGUAGAACUAUUAAAGAAUUUCGGUCAUCGAUGGGGAUGCGUUCCAUUAGCUUGUUGGCGGGGUAACGGCCCACCAGGCAUCGAUGGAUAGGGGUUCUGAGAGGAAGGUCCCCCACAUUGGAACUGAGACACGGUCCAAACUCCUACGGGAGGCAGCAG
RNAcentral lists this ribosomal RNA (263 nucleotides) under uncultured bacterium. RNAcentral's name for it is "partial 16S ribosomal RNA". It matches the Rfam family "Bacterial small subunit ribosomal RNA", at positions 89 to 354 of the family's 1533-position model. The record is from RNAcentral.